GACGAACGCUGGCGGCGUGCUUAACACAUGCAAGUCGAACGGAAAGGCCCUGCUUUUGUGGGGUGCUCGAGUGGCGAACGGGUGAGUAACACGUGAGUAACCUGCCCUUGACUUUGGGAUAACUUCAGGAAACUGGGGCUAAUACCGGAUAGGAGCUCCUGCUGCAUGGUGGGGGUUGGAGAGUUUCGGCGGUUGGGGAUGGACUCGCGGCUUAUCAGCUUGUUGGUGGGGUAGUGGCUUACCAAGGCUUUGACGGGUAGCCGGCCUGAGAGGGUGACCGGCCACAUUGGGACUGAGAUCGGGCCCAGACUCCUACGGGAGGCAGCAGUGGGGAAUUUUGCACAAUGGGCGGAAGCCGGAUGCAGCAACGCCGCGUGCGGGAUGACGGCCUUCGGGUUGUAAACCGCUUUCGCCUGUGACGAAGCGUGAGUGACGGUAAUGGGUAAAGAAGCACCGGCUAACUACGUG
RNAcentral lists this ribosomal RNA (468 nucleotides) under uncultured bacterium. Its description in RNAcentral is "partial 16S ribosomal RNA". It matches the Rfam family "Bacterial small subunit ribosomal RNA", at positions 28 to 507 of the family's 1533-position model. The record is from RNAcentral.